RNAcentral lists this long non-coding RNA (1090 nucleotides) under Pogona vitticeps (central bearded dragon). RNAcentral's name for it is "lncRNA (ENSPVIG00000000577.1)". The record is from RNAcentral. Lineage: Eukaryota; Metazoa; Chordata; Lepidosauria; Squamata; Agamidae.
AAUAACAUUCCAUCAGCGGUAGCCUGACAUGAUCUCUUGGUUGGCUGCUGUACAAAUGGGGAUUGCCCUGUGAAACAAAUGGGGUUUUUUUGUGCAAAGAAGCACUGCUUCUCUAUCACUUACACAAGCACUCCUUGCACAAGCUCUAUGACGGUUGAACUUCUUUGCAGAAUACAGUAACUCAACAGGAUUUUGCCCUUGGAUUGUAAACAUGGUCCUGACCAUCUGGAAAGAAAUGAAGAGCUCAGCACACAUCCAAAUACCAGGUCUUUUAUGUGAUGGACUCUGCCUUUCUGUUUGAGCCAGGGCUGGUCUGGAACAGCAAGAGCACCUAUCAUCUUAAUGUGGUAUCAUAAGAUACCGUUCACAGUACAAAAAUAAAGAGGAUGGAGAAUCUUGGAGAAGAAUGGAACAGAAUCCCCUUCUUAGAAAAAUCCAAUCCAUGUAGACAUACUGUAUGUCCCUUCUUCUCUGAGUCAAAAAGCAUGUGCCCUAAGUUCUCAGUCAGUAAUUCGGAUCCUGAUCCUACAAUAUUCAGGCAGUGCUCAGGUGGUACUCAAAAGGUAAGAUUUGGGUUCAUAGAUCUUAGGAACCUUCACAACAUUCCCACCUUUACCUUCCACAUUUCAUAUAAGCAGAUGCUUUUCUGUUCCUGGAAAGAAAGAAAGAAAGAAAGAAAAAAAGUUAAAAAGAAAGAAAGAAAGAAAGAAAGAAAGAAAGAAAGAAAGAAAGAAAGAAAUAAGGAAAGAAAUAAGGAAAGAAAUAAAUAAGGAAAGAAGCUAUCUUCAUUUUUCUUCUUCCUAGGAGUCUGAAAUUUCAAUAUUCCAAUUCAAUUUUAUUUAUACAUUAUAGCACACUCAUGCUGAUUAGCAGUGCGCUUCUUAUCAGUAAAAAUGUCAACCUCUGAGAAUGGGCAGGAUGUUGCUGUGAGUAGUGUGAAUCAUGAGACCAGGAUUAUGUCUAUCUCAAGCUUCCAAGAUAUUUCUGUAAUGAAACUUAAAUCCUUUUUUAAAAGCCCCAAAUCCAUAAAGGGUCUUCAGGGCAGUAAUUUGCAUUGACGCCUUUAUAUUAAAAUAUUCAUGUGUGAAAA